Molecule: ribosomal RNA, 543 nt
Filed under: Sungouiella blattae
Lineage: Eukaryota; Fungi; Ascomycota; Pichiomycetes; Serinales; Metschnikowiaceae
Description: eukaryotic LSU rRNA
Rfam family: Eukaryotic large subunit ribosomal RNA
Source: RNAcentral
AUAUCAAUAAGCGGAGGAAAAGAAACCAACAGGGAUUGCCUCAGUAACGGCGAGUGAAGCGGCAAAAGCUCAAAUUUGAAAUCCUUCGGGAGUUGUAAUUUGAAGGUGAAGGGACCGCGGUAGAUGAUGAUUAAAGUCCCUUGGAACAGGGCGCCUUAGAGGGUGAGAGCCCCGUACAGUCAUCCAUCUUCCUCUUAUGUUCUUUCUCCAACGAGUCGAGUUGUUUGGGAAUGCAGCUCAAAGUGGGUGGUAAAUUCCAUCUAAAGCUAAAUACCGGCGAGAGACCGAUAGCGAACAAGUACCGUGAGGGAAAGAUGAAAAGCACUUUGAAAAGAGAGUGAAACAGUACGUGAAAUUGUUGAAAGGGAAGGGCUUGCAAGCAGACACAACCCUCGUGGUUGGGCCAGCAUCGGUUGCUAGGGGUGGAUAAGGCGGCGGGAAUGUAGCUUCCUCGGAAGUAUUAUAUCCCGCUGAGAUACACCCACCGGCGACCGAGGCCUGCGAUUCUAAAUCAAGGAUGCUGGCGUAAUGGUUGCAAGCCGC